Molecule: long non-coding RNA, 133 nt
Organism: Gadus morhua (Atlantic cod)
Lineage: Eukaryota; Metazoa; Chordata; Actinopteri; Gadiformes; Gadidae
Exons: 3
Source: RefSeq, a predicted model, not a curated record
CUCCUAACUUUAAAGAUGGAUGCCCCUCCAGAGAGGAGAGACAACCCCACCAGAGUUCAAAGGUUACCAGUGCUCAGUCUGUACAGCAGUCUAUUGAGAAGAGAAGAGUCCAGCAGGAGAGAGCAGACUCCCC